Molecule: unclassified non-coding RNA, 5710 nt
Organism: Vigna unguiculata (cowpea)
Lineage: Eukaryota; Viridiplantae; Streptophyta; Magnoliopsida; Fabales; Fabaceae
Source: RefSeq, a predicted model, not a curated record
UGAUAUUCAAAUCCCCUUAAUUUUCAUCUGAUCUUCAAACCCUUAAUUUUGAUCUUUCAGUCAGCAUUUCUACUUUAUACAAUCUCAUUUCAAAUAGUUUCCAUUCAAAUCUCUUUCUCUCUCUUUCUGUUAAUUUUCAAGCACCGGAGCUUUGGCCCUCUCUGUUCCUGCUGUCUGAUUUCUCUUCGUCUAAUAAUAUUUUGCUUGUGCUUUAUUUUCUUUUCAGUUGCGCUGUUAUUUAUAUUGUUUCCUAUUCUUUUCGUUUCUGUUCUUGUUUUCUUCUCGUAACCAUGGAUGCAGGAUCUUUGAGUUCUUCUGGAGCCCUCAAAGAUCGGAUGACGCUAUCCUCUUCGAGAACAGUUUAUUCAAAGAAAGAGUUCCCAAAAAAAUUGAUGCUAAUUUAGUGAGGGAUGAGUAUUUAAGGUUCAACAUGGAUGAACAAGGAUGGGUUCCAAUUUCUUUGAUUGCAAGCUUCCUCGUGUGAUUAAUGAUUGUUUUGGUUUUGCGGGGCCAUUGCUUCUCAAUAAACUGAUCCAGUUUCUUCAACAAGGUUCCGUGAAUGUGGAUGGGUAUUUACUUGCAUUAUCCUUGGGCUCACCUCUAUAAUUAAAAAGAAAAGAACGUUACUCUGUUUCGCUCCAUUGCUCUCUGUUGCGCUCCAUUGCUCUCUUGCUCUAUUGCUCAAGAAGUUGGAUCUUGGAAAUCGAGAACCAUGAACGAUCAAUCCAUUCAAAUCCAAAUGCUCGCUGAAAAAUUCCACCGCUUUGUUCUUGACUACGUUCCUUCUGAGCUAGAUGAUGUAUCGAAGCAAGUGAACGAGAAUUCAGACUCCAUGGAUGAAAACACUAUGUCACAGGGAAUCCACGAAUUUUCUCCGGAUAAGGGUCACACACUUCCCAUAUUGAAGAAAAUACUUGAUCUCGACACUAAAAUUCAGAUCAAUCCAUUCAAAUUCAAAUGCUCGCUGAAAAAUUCCACCGCUUUGUUCUUGACUACGUUCCUUCUGAGCCAGAUGAUGUAUCGAAGUCAGUGAACGAGAACUCAGACUCCAUGGAUGAAAACACUAUGUCACAGGGAAUCCACGAAGUUUCUCCGGAUAAGGGUCACACACUUCCCAUAUUGAAGAACUUGAUCUCGACACUAAAAUUCAGGAUUUGAAGAAGCAUCAUAUAGCACUGUGACGAAGUGAAGCUCACGGUUGAAUCUUUUCCGGGCACUGAUGUUUUGAAGUCCGUGCAGCUUCUCGGUAUGCUUCCACUGUCGCGGAAGUGCAUUUUCGUAGACCUUGCCAAGCCGAGGUAUCUGUUUAUGUCCUCCUACGAACAGAGGGUGCAACCCUUUGAUAUAAGAUAUCAGUACCUUCUGCUGCAGCUGAACCGUAUGAAAUAAUUGCUUUCAAGGUAUUUUCUUACUUUUGUUUGUGUGUUUUAACGUUAAAUUAAACUACGUAAACUUGUGCCCGUAGAUAACCAAACACAGGUCGAUUCAAGAGAAUCCAAGUCAUUUCACUUUAAUUAUUUGCCCUUGUAACUAACAGCAGCAGAACUAAAUUGGUAAUUUCCUGUCUUCUUUUUUGCUUUCGUUUAUUGAUGUCUUUUGUUUAUGCGGCGUGCAUGAGUGAUUUUUGAUGUCCACCAUUUGUUAAUGAUGACGUCAAUUGAUACUUUGUAUUCAUUUACUGUGUUACCACCAUCAACAUUAUAAGGUGACUGAUUAAUGGUUUUACAUUGCUUUUAUGACUGUUUCAAACCAAUAAUUAGAAGUCGAGACUUUAGUACUUACUCUUAUUUAGUCGGAAGCUUCAAGAGAUAUAAUAGUUUUUCUUUAUUUUGUUACUUAGUGAGAUUCUUAGUUAUUUGUUGUUUUUAGAUAUUGACCCUUGUCUUAGCUUUGUUUUAUAGUCUUAGACUUGUUUAGAUAUGUUUCCAAGUGCUGUACAGAUUUUGCAUGGUUACUUGUCUACUUCUUAGUUCUUGAUUGUGAAUGACCUUUUGAGUUUCUAAUUUAAGUUGAUAGUUUCUAGUCAGUUUUACAACUUCUUUCAAUAGAAUUGAAUAGUUUUUACAUGAAAAGUCAGUUUUUAACCAGUUUUGACAAGAUUUUACCUACUGUGAGAUUUGAGAUUUACUUUCUUUCAUUGUGUGAUGCAUUCAUGUUUAUUUACAUUUUCAGAACUUGUAUUGUUCCUCUUCGAACUCUGACAGUUAGAUUUGCACUCUAGAGAUGAUAUUAGGCCAUGUUUGUUUCUCGUCAGCUAGCCAAAUAAAGCUCACCCUGAACUUAUCUCAUUUGCACCUGAAUUUUGUGCCUGAUUUACCUUUUUUUGUUCAUUUUAAGCUCAAUACAAGCCUUAGACCAGAAACACCAUGAAAAUGCCCAAAUCUUAGAGUUGUGAGAUGGUUUAGGAAGUGUGUAAGGAAUAUGUAAAGUUCAAGUGUGGGGAUCUGAAAAAUCUGAAGGUGUGGUCUGUUUUGACUUGGAAGAGAAAGGAGAGUGAAAAAAGAAAGAAAAGUAGAAAAAAAAUAAAGGAAAAAAAAAGAAAAAAAAAGUGAAAAAGAAUAAGAAAUAUAGAAGGAAGUGAGUAAUAAAAUAUAUGAAAGAAGUUGGAAAAGAAAGGAGAAUUAAAAAAAAAGAAUGAAAAGUGGAAAAUAUGUGAAAGAAAGGAAGGAAGUGAUGAACAGAGGUGGUGAAAGAGUUGAUGAUUCCAUGCACUUGAAUUCCACAUUUUCCACCUAGGUCUAUCUCACUUCUCUUUGAUUUUAGCUUUGAUUUUUUUCCUCUUUUUACCUCACCUAUACCUUGGCCACAUUACAAGCCUUGAUUGAAGUCCUAUUGAUCUUGAGUGCAUUUCUAAUUUGAUUGGUGUGAUUAGAAGCUUUCCAAGUUUAUGAUAAUUUGAAUUUGCAUAAUGUGCUGAGAGUUAAACACCUAGACUGAAACACUUGAGUGAAGAGAUGUAAACACUACCUUGGUGAGGUCAAUUCUGGUUUAGAUGCUGAUUUUGAUUGUUUGCUAUUUGGUUUUAUUGAUUAGAGUUGUUUUUUUCUGGGUGGAGAGCUUGAACCUUAAAUUAGUUGAUUCUUUUGUCAUUUACAGUUUUGAACUAGGAAGGUAGAUUGGUUUUCCUAUGCAGAAUUGUGAGCAGAUAUUUUAGUCCGGUUUUAGUUUGUUGGUAUAUAUUUUUUGUUUUUUAUGUUUGCCCUAGAAUGCAAAGGUUUUAAGCUUGGGCUAUGACCAGUCUCUAAUUGUUCAUAUUUUUCUAGACUAAUUGUAUGGGUUGUGUUUAAUGCCUAAUUUCUUGCUUUUAGGACAAAGUUGGUUUAUAGAGUAAACUUCUACUGAUUUUAUUUUAUUUUUCUAUGCAGAAUUGUGAGCAGAUAUUUUAAUCCAGUUUUGUGUAGAGUUUAACAUAUUUGAUUGCUUAUUAUUCACUCGUAUUUGUAUGUAGAUAAAUAUUAUUUUGUUCACAACGCGUGGCAACAGUGUAUGAAAUUCUUCCAGAUCAUGUUACUAAGAGAACAAGACCAAUGGGAAUAUCAUAUGAGGUAAGCUGGUUUGAUUUAUUGAAACAUCGUAUAUAAUCUUAGAACUCAUUAUUAGUUACAUGUAUUAACUAUUCAUGCUGGAAAUUGACUAAAUUUUGUUUUCUUGAUGCAAUCUGUUUGUUGGCACGAAUGUGGGGGACAUUGCUUUGUGGGAACUGGGCUCCAAUGAGCGGUUGUUGAUAAGGAACUUGAAAGUGUGGGAUCUUAUUGCUUGUUCAAUGCUCUUUCAGAGGAGAUAGUUGAAGUUGAGUUGAGGAAAGAGGGAAAAGUUGAAAUUGGAGUGUAUAAGAAUUAUGCUGUCUUUACUGGCUGGUUCAUGACAGUCAUUAUAUGCCUAUCAGCUAUUCUGAUGCAAGCUUCUCAUAAUGGAAACGAUUUAUGGUUAUCAUAUUGGGUUGAUACAACAACAGAAAGCAGUCAGACAAUGGAUUCGUAAGACAGGAGAACUUUUGACUUAUAUUCGCACUUUGAAGAUGUAUGGAUGGGAACUUUUUUCUAGUUGGUUGAUGGAUACAAGAUCUUUGGAAGUCAAACACUUAGCUACUAGAAAGUUCUUGGAUGCGUGGUGUGUUUUCUUUUGGGCUACAACACAAACACUCUUCUCCCUUUUCACAUUUGGACUCUAUGCACUAAUGGGACAUCAACUUGAUGUUGCAAUGGUUUUCACUUGUCUUGCAUUGUUCAACACCCUUAUUUCAACAAUAAAUUCAUUCCCUUGGGUAAUUAAUGGAUUGAUUGAUGCAACAACCUGAUUCUGUUAAAGGUUUGGGUGUAUUUAUCCAAGAUGCAUGUUGUACUUGGUCAAGAAGUGAGGAACAAGCAUUAAAUAUGGAGAGGUUGGUUCAGGUAAAUCGUCCCUGUUAUAUUCAGUCCUUGGAGAAAUGCAGCUUGUUCGUGGCUCUGUUUAUUCCAAUGAAUCCACUGCUUAUGUACCACAGCAGGUCCCUUGGAUUUUAUCUGGAACGGUGUGCGACAACAUAUUAUUCGGGAAAAGUUAUGAUCCUGAAAGGUAUACUGAUACACUGAAGGCAUGUGCAUUAGAUGUUGAUAUCUCAUUGAUGAUUGGAGGUGACAUGGCUUAUAUUGGAGAGAAAGGAGUCAACUUAUCGAGUGGACAGAGAGCUCGUCUUGCUUUGGCGAGGGCAUUGUAUCAUGACUCAGCUGUUGUUAUGCUUGAUGAUGUCCUGAGUGCAGAAGAUGUACAAGUUGCUCAAUGUAUCUUAUACAAUGCCAUUCUAGGCCCCCUUAUGCAGAGAAAAACCCGAUUGCUCUGUACUCUUAAUAUUCAGGCAACAGCCUGAUUCUGUUCAAGGUUUGGGUGUAUUUAUCCAAGAUGCAUGUUGUACUUGGUCAAGUAGUGAGGAACAGGCAUUAAAUAUGGUGUUGAAUCAUGUGACUCUAAGUGUGUCCCAGGGUUCCUUUGUUGCAGUUAUUGGAAAGGUUGGUUCAGGUAAAUCAUCCCUGUUAUAUUCAAUCCUUGGAGAAAUGCAGCUUGUUCGUGGCUCUGUUUAUUCCAAUGAAUCCACUGCUUAUGUACCACAGUGUGCAACAACAUAUUAUUCGGGAAAAGUUAUGAUCCUCUGAAAGGUAUACUGAUACACUGAAGGCAUGUGCAUUAGAUGUUGAUAUCUCAUUGAUGAUUGGAGGUGACAUGGCUUAUAUUGGAGAGAAAGGAGUCAACUUAUCGAGUGGACAGAGCUCGUCUUGCUUUGGGAAGGGCAUUGUAUCAUGACUCAGCUGUUGUUAUGCUUGAUGAUGUCCUGAGUGCAGUAGAUGUACAAGUUGCUCAAUGUAUCUUAUACAAUGCCAUUCUAGGCCCCCUUAUGCAGAGAAAAACCCGAUUGCUCUGUACUCUUAAUAUUCAGGCAAUAUCUUCUGCUUACAAGAUUGUUGUAAUGGACAAUGGACGCAUAAAAUGGAUAGGAAAUUUAGAUGACUUUCCAAUUAAUUCAUGUACACAAUUCUCUCCGCUGAAUGAAAUUGAUUCAGCUUUACAGAAUCAUGGAGAAUCUUGCAGCCCAAAUCUUUCUUCCAAAUCCGAGGAGCAGUGUCUCUUCUUGGCACAGGUAUUGUGCAUGCUCUGGAGGGAGCAGAGGAGAUAGUUGAAGUUGAGUUGAGGAAAGAGGGAAAAGUUGAAAUUGGAGUGUAUAAGAAUUAUGCUGUCU